RNAcentral lists this ribosomal RNA (279 nucleotides) under uncultured bacterium. Its description in RNAcentral is "partial 16S ribosomal RNA". It matches the Rfam family "Bacterial small subunit ribosomal RNA", at positions 506 to 784 of the family's 1533-position model. The record is from RNAcentral.
UGCCAGCCGCCGCGGUAAUACGGAGGGGACUAGCGUUGUUCGGAAUUACUGGGCGUAAAGCGCACGUAGGCGGAUCAGAAAGUAUGGGGUGAAAUCCCAGGGCUCAACCCUGGAACUGCCUCAUAAACUCCUGGUCUAGAGUUCGAGAGAGGUGAGUGGAAUUCCGAGUGUAGAGGUGAAAUUCGUAGAUAUUGGAAGGAACACCAGUGGCGAAGGCGACUUCCUGGGCCAAUACUGACGCUGAGGUGCGAAAGCGUGGGGAGCAAACAGGAUUAGAUA